This 301-nucleotide ribosomal RNA is filed under the name uncultured fungus. Its description in RNAcentral is "eukaryotic LSU rRNA". The stretch from base 1 to 113 matches the Rfam family "5.8S ribosomal RNA", at positions 42 to 154 of the family's 154-position model. The record is from RNAcentral. Lineage: Eukaryota; Fungi.
AACGCAGCGAAGGGCGAUAAGUAAUGCGAAUUGCAGAAUUCAGUGAGUCAUCGAAUCUUUGAACGCACAUUGCGCCCCGUGGUAUUCCGCGGGGCAUGCCUGUUCGAGCGUCAUUUCAACCCUCAAGCUCUGCUUGGUAUUGGGCCGUACCGGUAACGGUAAGCCCUAAAAUCAGUGGCGGUGCCGUCUGGUACUAAGCGUAGUAAUUCUUCUCGCUAUAGUUUCCCGGUGGUAUCUGGCUAGGAACCCCCAAUUUUCUAUGGUUGACCUCGGAUCAGGUAGGGAUACCCGCUGAACUUAA